This 58-nucleotide transfer RNA is filed under the name Salmo salar (Atlantic salmon). It matches the Rfam family "tRNA", at positions 8 to 63 of the family's 71-position model. Rfam says of the family: Transfer RNA (tRNA) molecules are approximately 80 nucleotides in length. Their secondary structure includes four short double-helical elements and three loops (D, anti-codon, and T loops). Lineage: Eukaryota; Metazoa; Chordata; Actinopteri; Salmoniformes; Salmonidae. The record is from Rfam by way of RNAcentral.
UGGCUAAAUUGGUAGAGCAUGGUGUUUGCAACGCCAGGGUUGUGGGUUCGAUUCCCAC